GGGGAAUAUUGCACAAUGGGCGAAAGCCUGAUGCAGCAACGCCGCGUGAGUGAUGAAGGCCUUCGGGUUGUAAAGCUCUGUCUUCUGGGACGAUAAUGACGGUACCAGAGGAGGAAGCCACGGCUAACUACGUGCCAGCAGCCGCGGUAAUACGUAGGUGGCAAGCGUUGUACGGAUUUACUGGGCGUAAAGGAUGCGUAGGCGGAUACUUAAGUCAGAUGUGAAAAUCCCGGGCUUAACUUGGGAACUGCAUUUGAAACUGGGUAUCUAGAGUGCGGGAGAGGAAAGUGGAAUUCCUAGUGUAGCGGUGAAAUGCGUAGAGAUUAGGAAGAACACCAGUGGCGAAGGCGACUUUCUGGACCGUAACUGACGCUGAGGCAUGAAAGCGUGGGGAGCAAACA
This 401-nucleotide ribosomal RNA is filed under the name uncultured bacterium. Its description in RNAcentral is "bacterial SSU rRNA". It matches the Rfam family "Bacterial small subunit ribosomal RNA", at positions 356 to 774 of the family's 1533-position model. The record is from RNAcentral.